ACGUCCGUGAUGUAAUAGCAGCAUUGCCGGCUCCAACCCGGCAGGUCAGGGUGCGAAUCCUUGCGGACGUGC
RNAcentral lists this transfer RNA (72 nucleotides) under Symmachiella macrocystis. RNAcentral describes it as "Planctomycetes bacterium CA54 tRNA-Trp". It matches the Rfam family "tRNA". Rfam says of the family: Transfer RNA (tRNA) molecules are approximately 80 nucleotides in length. Their secondary structure includes four short double-helical elements and three loops (D, anti-codon, and T loops). Lineage: Bacteria; Pseudomonadati; Planctomycetota; Planctomycetia; Planctomycetales; Planctomycetaceae. The record is from RNAcentral.